GAAAUGCGAUACUUGGUGUGAAUUGCAUAAUCCCACGAACCAUCGAGUCUUUUAACGCAAGUUGCGCCCGAAGCCAUUAGGUUGAGGGCACGUCAGCCUGGGCAUCUCACGUUGCGUCGCCCGCGCCCCCUUGAAGGAAGGGCUGCGGGCGGAUGUUGGCCCCCGCACGCGUGCCCGCGCACGGUCGGCCCUAAAGCGAGUCCCCCGCGACGGACGACGCGUCGCGAUGAGUGGUGGUUGACAAACCAUUGCGUCACCUCGCGCGCAUCCGGGCCGUCUCGAGAGGCCAGCUGUGACCCUAUCGCGCCGCCGCCAAGGCGCUCCGAUCGCAACCCCAGGUCAGGCGGGAUUACCCACUGAGUUUAA
This 366-nucleotide unclassified non-coding RNA is filed under the name uncultured fungus. RNAcentral describes it as "sequence contains ITS1". The stretch from base 1 to 107 matches the Rfam family "5.8S ribosomal RNA", at positions 50 to 154 of the family's 154-position model. The record is from RNAcentral. Lineage: Eukaryota; Fungi.